Molecule: ribosomal RNA, 1372 nt
Filed under: uncultured bacterium
Lineage: Bacteria
Description: bacterial SSU rRNA
Rfam family: Bacterial small subunit ribosomal RNA
Source: RNAcentral
GAUGAACGCUGGCGGCGUGCCUAAUACAUGCAAGUCGAGCGAACGGACGAGAAGCUUGCUUCUCUGAUGUUAGCGGCGGACGGGUGAGUAACACGUGGAUAACCUACCUAUAAGACUGGGAUAACUUCGGGAAACCGGAGCUAAUACCGGAUAAUAUUUUGAACCGCAUGGUUCAAAAGUGAAAGACGGUCUUGCUGUCACUUAUAGAUGGAUCCGCGCUGCAUUAGCUAGUUGGUAAGGUAACGGCUUACCAAGGCAACGAUGCAUAGCCGACCUGAGAGGGUGAUCGGCCACACUGGAACUGAGACACGGUCCAGACUCCUACGGGAGGCAGCAGUAGGGAAUCUUCCGCAAUGGGCGAAAGCCUGACGGAGCAACGCCGCGUGAGUGAUGAAGGUCUUCGGAUCGUAAAACUCUGUUAUUAGGGAAGAACAUAUGUGUAAGUAACUGUGCACAUCUUGACGGUACCUAAUCAGAAAGCCACGGCUAACUACGUGCCAGCAGCCGCGGUAAUACGUAGGUGGCAAGCGUUAUCCGGAAUUAUUGGGCGUAAAGCGCGCGUAGGCGGUUUUUUAAGUCUGAUGUGAAAGCCCACGGCUCAACCGUGGAGGGUCAUUGGAAACUGGAAAACUUGAGUGCAGAAGAGGAAAGUGGAAUUCCAUGUGUAGUGGUGAAAUGCGCAGAGAUAUGGAGGAACACCAGUGGCGAAGGCGACUUUCUGGUCUGUAACUGACGCUGAUGUGCGAAAGCGUGGGGAUCAAACAGGAUUAGAUACCCUGGUAGUCCACGCCGUAAACGAUGAGUGCUAAGUGUUAGGGGGUUUCCGCCCCUUAGUGCUGCAGCUAACGCAUUAAGCACUCCGCCUGGGGAGUACGACCGCAAGGUUGAAACUCAAAGGAAUUGACGGGGACCCGCACAAGCGGUGGAGCAUGUGGUUUAAUUCGAAGCAACGCGAAGAACCUUACCAAAUCUUGACAUCCUUUGACAACUCUAGAGAUAGAGCCUUCCCCUUCGGGGGACAAAGUGACAGGUGGUGCAUGGUUGUCGUCAGCUCGUGUCGUGAGAUGUUGGGUUAAGUCCCGCAACGAGCGCAACCCUUAAGCUUAGUUGCCAUCAUUAAGUUGGGCACUCUAAGUUGACUGCCGGUGACAAACCGGAGGAAGGUGGGGAUGACGUCAAAUCAUCAUGCCCCUUAUGAUUUGGGCUACACACGUGCUACAAUGGACAAUACAAAGGGCAGCGAAACCGCGAGGUCAAGCAAAUCCCAUAAAGUUGUUCUCAGUUCGGAUUGUAGUCUGCAACUCGACUACAUGAAGCUGGAAUCGCUAGUAAUCGUAGAUCAGCAUGCUACGGUGAAUACGUUCCCGGGUCU